RNAcentral lists this ribosomal RNA (253 nucleotides) under uncultured bacterium. Its description in RNAcentral is "partial 16S ribosomal RNA". It matches the Rfam family "Bacterial small subunit ribosomal RNA", at positions 524 to 776 of the family's 1533-position model. The record is from RNAcentral.
UACGUAGGGUGCAAGCGUUAAUCGGAAUUACUGGGCGUAAAGCGUGCGCAGGCGGCUUUGCAAGACAGAUGUGAAAUCCCCGGGCUUAACCUGGGAACUGCAUUUGUGACUGCAUGGCUGGAGUGUGGCAGAGGGGGAUGGAAUUCCGCGUGUAGCAGUGAAAUGCGUAGAUAUGCGGAGGAACACCGAUGGCGAAGGCAGUCCCCUGGGCCUGCACUGACGCUCAUGCACGAAAGCGUGGGGAGCAAACAGG